RNAcentral lists this transfer RNA (85 nucleotides) under Bdellovibrionales bacterium. RNAcentral's name for it is "tRNA-Leu". It matches the Rfam family "tRNA". Rfam says of the family: Transfer RNA (tRNA) molecules are approximately 80 nucleotides in length. The record is from RNAcentral. Lineage: Bacteria; Pseudomonadati; Bdellovibrionota; Bdellovibrionia; Bdellovibrionales.
GCGCCUGUGGUGAAAUUGGCAGACACGCUAGACUUAGGAUCUAGUGCCGUAAGGCGUGGGGGUUCGACUCCCUCCAGGCGCACCA